CCUACGGGAGGCAGCAGUGGGGAAUAUUGGACAAUGGGCGCAAGCCUGAUCCAGCAAUGCCGCGUGUGUGAAGAAGGCCUUCGGGUUGUAAAGCACUUUCACUAGGGAGGAAAAGCUGUGCGUUAAUAGCGUAUAGCCGUGACGUUACCUAGAGAAGAAGCACCGGCUAACUCCGUGCCAGCAGCCGCGGUAAU
Molecule: ribosomal RNA, 194 nt
Filed under: uncultured bacterium
Lineage: Bacteria
Description: partial 16S ribosomal RNA
Rfam family: Bacterial small subunit ribosomal RNA
Source: RNAcentral